Molecule: ribosomal RNA, 1314 nt
Filed under: Salmonella enterica subsp. enterica serovar Oslo
Lineage: Bacteria; Pseudomonadati; Pseudomonadota; Gammaproteobacteria; Enterobacterales; Enterobacteriaceae
Description: partial 23S ribosomal RNA
Rfam family: Bacterial large subunit ribosomal RNA
Source: RNAcentral
AGGGGGCCAUCCCGGCUUACCAACCCGAUGCAAACUGCGAAUACCGGAGAAUGUUAUCACGGGAGACACACGGCGGGUGCUAACGUCCGUCGUGAAGAGGGAAACAACCCAGACCGCCAGCUAAGGUCCCAAAGUCAUGGUUAAGUGGGAAACGAUGUGGGAAGGCCCAGACAGCCAGGAUGUUGGCUUAGAAGCAGCCAUCAUUUAAAGAAAGCGUAAUAGCUCACUGGUCGAGUCGGCCUGCGCGGAAGAUGUAACGGGGCUAAACCAUGCACCGAAGCUGCGGCAGCGACGCUCAGGCGUUGUUGGGUAGGGGAGCGUUCUGUAAGCCUGUGAAGGUGGCCUGUGAGGGUUGCUGGAGGUAUCAGAAGUGCGAAUGCUGACAUAAGUAACGAUAAAGCGGGUGAAAAGCCCGCUCGCCGGAAGACCAAGGGUUCCUGUCCAACGUUAAUCGGGGCAGGGUGAGUCGACCCCUAAGGCGAGGCCGAAAGGCGUAGUCGAUGGGAAACGGGUUAAUAUUCCCGUACUUGGUGUUACUGCGAAGGGGGGACGGAGAAGGCUAUGUUGGCCGGGCGACGGUUGUCCCGGUUUAAGCGUGUAGGUGUGUGUUCCAGGUAAAUCCGGUUCACUUUAACACUGAGGCGUGACGACGAGGCACUACGGUGCUGAAGCAACAAAUGCCCUGCUUCCAGGAAAAGCCUCUAAGCAUCAGGUAACAUCAAAUCGUACCCCAAACCGACACAGGUGGUCAGGUAGAGAAUACCAAGGCGCUUGAGAGAACUCGGGUGAAGGAACUAGGCAAAAUGGUGCCGUAACUUCGGGAGAAGGCACGCUGACACGUAGGUGAAGUGAUUUACUCAUGGAGCUGAAGUCAGUCGAAGAUACCAGCUGGCUGCAACUGUUUAUUAAAAACACAGCACUGUGCAAACACGAAAGUGGACGUAUACGGUGUGACGCCUGCCCGGUGCCGGAAGGUUAAUUGAUGGGGUCAGCGCAAGCGAAGCUCCUGAUCGAAGCCCCGGUAAACGGCGGCCGUAACUAUAACGGUCCUAAGGUAGCGAAAUUCCUUGUCGGGUAAGUUCCGACCUGCACGAAUGGCGUAAUGAUGGCCAGGCUGUCUCCACCCGAGACUCAGUGAAAUUGAACUCGCUGUGAAGAUGCAGUGUACCCGCGGCAAGACGGAAAGACCCCGUGAACCUUUACUAUAGCUUGACACUGAACAUUGAGCCUUGAUGUGUAGGAUAGGUGGGAGGCUUUGAAGCGUGGACGCCAGUCUGCGUGGAGCCGACCUUGAAAUACCACCCUUUAAUGUUU